AGAGUUUGAUCCUGGCUCAGGAUGAACGCUGGCGGCGUGCUUAACACAUGCAAGUCGAACGAACCUUCGGGUUAGUGGCGGACGGGUGAGUAACGCGUGGGAAUCUGCCCUCAGGAGGGGGAUAACGGCUGGAAACGGCCGCUAAUACCCCAUAUGCCGAGAGGUGAAAAGAAAUUCGCCUGAGGAUGAGCCCGCGUCUGAUUAGCUAGUUGGUGGGGUAAGAGCUCACCAAGGCGACGAUCAGUAGCUGGUCUGAGAGGAUGAUCAGCCACACUGGGACUGAGACACGGCCCAGACUCCUACGGGAGGCAGCAGUGGGGAAUUUUCCGCAAUGGGCGAAAGCCUGACGGAGCAACGCCGCGUGAGGGAUGAAGGCCUCUGGGCUGUAAACCUCUUUUCUCAAGGAAGAAGACAUGACGGUACUUGAGGAAUAAGCCACGGCUAAUUCCGUGCCAGCAGCCGCGGUAAUACGGGAGUGGCAAGCGUUAUCCGGAAUUAUUGGGCGUAAAGCGUCCGCAGGCGGCCCUGUAAGUCUGUCGUUAAAGCGUGGAGCUUAACUCCAUUUAAGCGAUGGAAACUACAGGGCUUGAGUGUGGUAGGGGCAGAGGGAAUUCCCGGUGUAGCGGUGAAAUGCGUAGAUAUCGGGGAGAACACCAGUGGCGAAGGCGCUCUGCUGGGCCAUAACUGGCGCUCAUGGACGAAAGCCAGGGGAGCGAAAGGGAUUAGAUACCCCUGUAGUCCUGGCCGUAAACGAUGAACACUAGGUGUCGGGGGAAUCGACCCCCUCGGUGUCGUAGCCAACGCGUUAAGUGUUCCGCCUGGGGAGUACGCACGCAAGUGUGAAACUCAAAGGAAUUGACGGGGGCCCGCACAAGCGGUGGAGUAUGUGGUUUAAUUCGAUGCAACGCGAAGAACCUUACCAGGGUUUGACAUCCUGCGAAUCCCUUGGAAACGAGGGAGUGCCUUCGGGAGCGCAGAGACAGGUGGUGCAUGGCUGUCGUCAGCUCGUGUCGUGAGAUGUUGGGUUAAGUCCCGCAACGAGCGCAACCCACGUCUUUAGUUGCCAGCAUUCAGUUGGGCACUCUAGAGAGACCGCCGGUGAUAAACCGGAGGAAGGUGUGGAUGACGUCAAGUCAUCAUGCCCCUUACAUCCUGGGCUACACACGUACUACAAUGCUACGGACAAAGGGCAGCAAGCUCGCGAGAGUUAGCAAAUCCCAUAAACCGUGGCUCAGUUCAGAUCGUAGGCUGCAACUCGCCUACGUGAAGGAGGAAUCGCUAGUAAUCGCAGGUCAGCAUACUGCGGUGAAUACGUUCCCGGGCCUUGUACACACCGCCCGUCACACCAUGGAAGUUGGCCAUGCCCGAAGUCGUUACUCCAACCCC
This 1386-nucleotide ribosomal RNA is filed under the name metagenome. Its description in RNAcentral is "bacterial SSU rRNA". It matches the Rfam family "Bacterial small subunit ribosomal RNA". The record is from RNAcentral.